GGGCCUAUAGCUCAGCGGCAGAGCAUCCGGCUCAUAACCGGACGGUCCUUGGUUCGAUGCCAAGUGGGCCCA
Molecule: transfer RNA, 72 nt
Filed under: Porphyromonadaceae bacterium
Lineage: Bacteria; Pseudomonadati; Bacteroidota; Bacteroidia; Bacteroidales; Porphyromonadaceae
Also listed under: 1 other name
Description: tRNA-Ile
Rfam family: tRNA
About the family: Transfer RNA (tRNA) molecules are approximately 80 nucleotides in length. Their secondary structure includes four short double-helical elements and three loops (D, anti-codon, and T loops).
Source: RNAcentral